This 423-nucleotide ribosomal RNA is filed under the name uncultured bacterium. RNAcentral's name for it is "bacterial SSU rRNA". It matches the Rfam family "Bacterial small subunit ribosomal RNA", at positions 917 to 1344 of the family's 1533-position model. The record is from RNAcentral.
GGGCCCGCACAAGCGGUGGAGCAUGUGGUUUAAUUCGAUGAUACGCGAGGAACCUUACCAGGGCUUAAAUGUAGUCUGACGUACUUGGAAACAGGUAUUUCUUCGGACAGAUUACAAGGUGCUGCAUGGUUGUCGUCAGCUCGUGCCGUGAGGUGUCAGGUUAAGUCCUAUAACGAGCGCAACCCUGUGGUUAGUUGCCAGCGAGUCAAGUCGGGAACUCUAGCCAGACUGCCGGUGCAAACCGUGAGGAAGGUGGGGAUGACGUCAAAUCAUCACGGCCCUUACGUCCUGGGCCACACACGUGCUACAAUGGUAGGGACAGAGAGCAGCCACUUUGCGAGAAGGAGCGAAUCUUCAAACCCUAUCACAGUUCGGAUCGGAGUCUGCAACUCGACUCCAUGAAGUAGGAAUCGCUAGUAAUCG